RNAcentral lists this ribosomal RNA (453 nucleotides) under uncultured bacterium. RNAcentral's name for it is "bacterial SSU rRNA". It matches the Rfam family "Bacterial small subunit ribosomal RNA", at positions 26 to 521 of the family's 1533-position model. The record is from RNAcentral.
AGAACGAACGCUGGCGGCAUGCCUAACACAUGCAAGUCGAACGAAUUACCUUCGGGUAGUUAGUGGCGCACGGGUGCGUAACGCGUGGGAAUCUGCCCUGGGGUCUGGGAUAACCGUUGGAAACGACGGCUAAUACCGGAUGAUGAUGUAAAUCCAAAGAUUUAUCGCCCUGGGAUGAGCCCGCGUAGGAUUAGCUAGUUGGUGGGGUAAAGGCCUACCAAGGCGACGAUCCUUAGCUGGUCUGAGAGGAUGAUCAGCCACACUGGGACUGAGACACGGCCCAGACUCCUACGGGAGGCAGCAGUGGGGAAUAUUGGACAAUGGGCGAAAGCCUGAUCCAGCAAUGCCGCGUGAGUGAUGAAGGCCUUAGGGUUGUAAAGCUCUUUUACCCGGGAUGAUAAUGACAGUACCGGGAGAAUAAGCCCCGGCUAACUCCGUGCCAGCCGCCGCGGU